This 467-nucleotide ribosomal RNA is filed under the name uncultured bacterium. RNAcentral's name for it is "partial 16S ribosomal RNA". It matches the Rfam family "Bacterial small subunit ribosomal RNA", at positions 28 to 506 of the family's 1533-position model. The record is from RNAcentral.
GACGAACGCUGGCGGCGUGCUUAACACAUGCAAGUCGAACGGAAAGGCCCUGCUUUUGUGGGGUGCUCGAGUGGCGAACGGGUGAGUAACACGUGAGUAACCUGCCCUUGACUUUGGGAUAACUUCAGGAAACUGGGGCUAAUACCGGAUAGGAGCUCCUGCUGCAUGGUGGGGGUUGGAAAGUUUCGGCGGUUGGGGAUGGACUCGCGGCUUAUCAGCUUGUUGGUGGGGUAGUGGCUUACCAAGGCUUUGACGGGUAGCCGGCCUGGGGGGGUGACCGGCCUAAUGGGGAUGAAGUUGCGGCCGAGACACCGCCGGGGGGAAAGAUGGGGAAAUUUGUGCGAAGGGGGGGAAACCUGAUUGGCGAACGCCGCCUGCGGGAUUUCGGCCUUCGGGUGGAAAACCAGUUUCCCCUUUGGGGAAGCGGGGGGGAGGUGAAUAGUUAAAGAAGCACCGGUGAACUGAGU